Molecule: ribosomal RNA, 552 nt
Filed under: uncultured bacterium
Lineage: Bacteria
Description: bacterial SSU rRNA
Rfam family: Bacterial small subunit ribosomal RNA
Source: RNAcentral
GACACGGCCCAGACUCCUACGGGAGGCAGCAGUGGGGAAUAUUGGACAAUGGGCGAAAGCCUGAUCCAGCAAUGCCGCGUGUGUGAAGAAGGUCUUCGGAUUGUAAAGCACUUUCGACGGGGACGAUGAUGACGGUACCCGUAGAAGAAGCCCCGGCUAACUUCGUGCCAGCAGCCGCGGUAAUACGAAGGGGGCUAGCGUUGCUCGGAUUGACUGGGCGUAAAGGGCGCGUAGGCGGCUUGUACAGUCAGACGUGAAAUUCCUGGGCUCAACCUGGGGGCUGCGUUUGAUACGUGCAGGCUUGAGUUCGGAAGAGGGUCGUGGAAUUCCCAGUGUAGAGGUGAAAUUCGUAGAUAUUGGGAAGAACACCGGUGGCGAAGGCGGCGACCUGGUCCGAUACUGACGCUGAGGCGCGAAAGCGUGGGGAGCAAACAGGAUUAGAUACCCUGGUAGUCCACGCCGUAAACGAUGGGUGCUAGACGUUGGCGAGCUUGCUCGUCAGUGUCGCAGCUAACGCGUUAAGCACCCCGCCUGGGGAGUACGGCCGCAAGG